CCCAGUGGUAAAGCACCCUGGUUUCAAUCUCCAGAACCAAAAUAAAUAAGUAAAUAAGCAAGCAAGCAAACAAACAAAUACAUAAAAUUUUGAAAGGAAGUGAAAUUUAAAUGAUCAAAACCAAUUAUCUAUUAUUUGUAAUUUCAGGAUUAAUUAUAACAUGUACUAUUAUUGGUAGUGUGAGCAAUACAUAUAACCAUAUUUUCCAAGUACUACCCAUGAAUGGGUACUACAAGGACUACAAAGUGUUGACACUGGUUAAAAGAAUCGCAUUAGUCUCUGCAAAUGGAAAUGGCUU
RNAcentral lists this long non-coding RNA (298 nucleotides) under Marmota monax (woodchuck). The record is from RNAcentral. Lineage: Eukaryota; Metazoa; Chordata; Mammalia; Rodentia; Sciuridae.